UACUCCUACGGGAGGCAGCAGUAGGGAAUCUUCGGCAAUGGACGGAAGUCUGACCGAGCAACGCCGCGUGAGUGAAGAAGGUUUUCGGAUCGUAAAGCUCUGUUGUAAGAGAAGAACGAGUGUGAGAGUGGAAAGUUCACACUGUGACGGUAUCUUACCAGAAAGGGACGGCUAACUACGUGCCAGCAGCCGCGGUAAUACGUAGGUCCCGAGCGUUGUCCGGAUUUAUUGGGCGUAAAGCGAGCGCAGGCGGUUAGAUAAGUCUGAAGUUAAAGGCUGUGGCUUAACCAUAGUACGCUUUGGAAACUGUUUAACUUGAGUGCAAGAGGGGAGAGUGGAAUUCCAUGUGUAGCGGUGAAAUGCGUAGAUAUAUGGAGGAACACCGGUGGCGAAAGCGGCUCUCUGGCUUGUAACUGACGCUGAGGCUCGAAAGCGUGGGGAGCAAACAGGAUUAGAUACCCUGGUAGUCCACGCCGUAAACGAUGAGUGCUAGGUGUUAGACCCUUUCCGGGGUUUAGUGCCGUAGCUAACGCAUUAAGCACUCCGCCUGGGGAGUACGACCGCAAGGUUGAAACUCAAAGGAAUUGA
This 588-nucleotide ribosomal RNA is filed under the name uncultured bacterium. RNAcentral's name for it is "bacterial SSU rRNA". It matches the Rfam family "Bacterial small subunit ribosomal RNA", at positions 334 to 913 of the family's 1533-position model. The record is from RNAcentral.